Molecule: ribosomal RNA, 253 nt
Filed under: uncultured bacterium
Lineage: Bacteria
Description: partial 16S ribosomal RNA
Rfam family: Bacterial small subunit ribosomal RNA
Source: RNAcentral
UACGUAGGGUGCGAGCGUUAAUCGGAAUUACUGGGCGUAAAGCGUGCGCAGGCGGCUUUGCAAGACAGAUGUGAAAUCCCCGGGCUCAACCUGGGGACUGCAUUUGUGACUGCAAGGCUAGAGUACGGCAGAGGGGGAUGGAAUUCCGCGUGUAGCAGUGAAAUGCGUAGAUAUGCGGAGGAACACCAAUGGCGAAGGCAAUCCCCUGGGCCUGUACUGACGCUCAUGCACGAAAGCGUGGGGAGCAAACAGG